ACUAUUAACUCAAAGAAAGUAUAUGUAAACAUUUAAACAUCAUAUACUAAUAAUGAACAAGAGUGCAGAUUAAGUAACAAAUAUAUAAAUGAAAACCACCCAAGAUCAGUAAACGAUCUUUAACUAUUACUGUAUUCAUUUUAUAUUAAGGGAGUUCAUCCAGAGGCAGUGAGUGAACUUUGUGUCCUGAAACCAGAAUCAGUUGGGAAGAAUGGAACCAAGUCUACCCAAUUAAAAGGCUUACACAGGUCCCCUUCCAGAUGCUGAUGUCUUGGCUUCUGGUGCAAAACUACGUCAGAUUAAUCCCAAGCCUUUGCUGCCGCACAUACUUGAGGGCAUGUCAAAAGUAGAGUUGUACCUCUUGGCAGUCCACUUUCAUACCAGUGUCCCCAUAUAGCUGCAGGUGUUCCUGAUCUUAAUUUCCCCCCACUACCUGUGCUUGGUUUUCAGUUUGGCUGUAAUUUUAAAUAUGGCCAGACGGACGAGUGCAUGAUCCAUCUGAAACAUUCGUUUGGACUAGUGGAGGUAAAAAGCACCUCUGCUGAAAACAUUGCUCAGGUUCCAUUUAUGAAAAUUCAAAGAGGACUAGCCAAACUUAAAGAGACCCCUAAGUACUACUGGCAGGUACAAGGUCAGACUGCAGUGACUGGUCUACACUGAUGUGACUAUACUGUGUACUGUGAUGUGACUGACAUACAAUCAGAUUUCAUAAUACAGAUGAUCUGGCGAGAUGAUGCCUUCAUAACAUCAAUGAAAGUACUGUUAUAACGUUUAUCUGGAUGUGUAUCUUUCAGUGGUAUGAAUGGACAGAUUCUGUUCAUAUUAUAGUAUGAACCUAAGAUUUAUUUUUACAUUCAUAGUAAAUAUAUACUUUAUGUAGUUGAGAAGUAUGUAGCAUAUUUUGUAGUAGAUCUUUGAUAACAUAUUAGAUACAUCACAAAUUAUAACAAUAAAUAUAAUGUACUUGCUAUUAAUUAGAUAAAUGUACAUACCAAGGUGAAUACUUUUUGUAUUAAAUCUUCUGUAAUGUAUAUGAUAUGCAUAUUCUUUUACUACUUGCGUAUAUUUACAUUUGAUACAUUGUGUGAUAUAACAAAGAAGAUUUUUUUCAUGAGUUAUUAUAAAAAUACUUUUCAUUGUCAACUA
Long non-coding RNA from Carassius auratus (goldfish), 1146 nucleotides. RefSeq lists it as uncharacterized. NCBI's taxonomy places the organism in Eukaryota, Metazoa, Chordata, Actinopteri, Cypriniformes, Cyprinidae. The transcript is spliced from 2 exons. The record is from RefSeq and is a predicted model, not a curated record.